Molecule: ribosomal RNA, 756 nt
Filed under: uncultured bacterium
Lineage: Bacteria
Description: bacterial SSU rRNA
Rfam family: Bacterial small subunit ribosomal RNA
Source: RNAcentral
AGAGUUUGAUCAUGGCUCAGAAUCAACGCUGGCGGCGUGCCUAACACAUGCAAGUCGAACGAGAAAGUGGAGCAAUCCAUGAGUAAAGUGGCGCACGGGUGAGUAACACGUGACUAACCUACCCUUGAGUGGGGGAUAACCUGGGGAAACCUUGGCUAAUACCGCAUAACACCUACGGGUCAAAGGAGCAAUUCGCUUAAGGAGGGGGUCGCGGCAGAUUAGUUAGUUGGCGGGGUAAUGGCCCACCAAGACAGUGAUCUGUAUCCGGCCUGAGAGGGCGCACGGACACACUGGAACUGAAACACGGUCCAGACUCCUACGGGAGGCAGCAGUGGGGAAUUUUGCGCAAUGGGGGAAACCCUGACGCAGCAACGCCGCGUGGAGGAUGAAGUCCCUUGGGACGUAAACUCCUUUCGACCGGGACGAUUAUGACGGUACCGGAAGAAGAAGCCCCGGCUAACUUCGUGCCAGCAGCCGCGGUAAUACGAGGGGGGCGAGCGUUGUUCGGAAUUAUUGGGCGUAAAGGGUGCGUAGGCGGUUCGGUAAGUUUCGUGUGAAAUCUUCGGGCUCAACUCGAAGCCUGCACGAAAUACUGCCGGGCUUGAGUGUGGGAGAGGUGAGUGGAAUUUCCGGUGUAGCGGUGAAAUGCGUAGAUAUCGGAAGGAACACCUGUGGCGAAAGCGGCUCACUGGACCACAACUGACGCUGAUGCACGAAAGCUAGGGGAGCAAACAGGAUUAGAUACCCCAGUAGUCC